UGGGGAAUUUUGGACGAAUUGGGCGAAAGCCUGAUCCAGCAAUGCCGCGUGUGUGAAGAAGGCCUUCGGGUUGUAAAGCACUUUUGUCCGGAAAGAAAUCCUUGGCUCUAAUACAGUCGGGGGAUGACGGUACCGGAAGAAUAAGCACCGGCUAACUACGUGCCAGCAGCCGCGGUAAUACGUAGGGUGCAAGCGUUAAUCGGAAUUACUGGGCGUAAAGCGUGCGCAGGCGGUUUUGCUAAGACCGAUGUGAAAUCCCCGGGCUCAACCUGGGAACUGCAUUGGUGACUGGCAGGCUAGAGUAUGGCAGAGGGGGGUUAGAAUUCCACGUGUAGCAGUGAAAUGCGUAGAGAUGUGGAGGAAUACCGAUGGCGAAGGCAGCCCCCUGGGCCAAUACUGACGCUCAUGCACGAAAAGGCGUGGGGGAGCAAAAGCAGGAUUUAGAUA
RNAcentral lists this ribosomal RNA (447 nucleotides) under uncultured bacterium. Its description in RNAcentral is "partial 16S ribosomal RNA". It matches the Rfam family "Bacterial small subunit ribosomal RNA", at positions 355 to 784 of the family's 1533-position model. The record is from RNAcentral.